UUCGAAUCCCGCCGUGGCCGGGCAUAUUUUUCAAGCUCGCCCGGUGUGGAUAUGCACUCAGAGUAACAUCACAAACAUAUCUGCAGUGAUGUUUGUUAUGACAUUUUUCCUAGAUUGUAUUGUAUAUGAAAAAAUGUGUUCAUCUCUCACUAACAAAACGCUGGUGAAAGGAAUAAAGCAAGCUUGCCCAAUCGAACAAACGAGUUGUUUGGACGGAUUCCAUUCUGUGCUGAAUCAAUUCUCUCACUUACAGAGGAAUGUUUUGUACAUGUAGG
Non-coding RNA from Paramuricea clavata, 275 nucleotides. The record is from the annotation of a GenBank genome assembly. NCBI's taxonomy places the organism in Eukaryota, Metazoa, Cnidaria, Anthozoa, Malacalcyonacea, Plexauridae.